UAAAGGGUUUUCUUGCUCUUUUUUUGCUAUAAGAGAAGGUUUUACAUGUAUAUUUUAAAAUGAAUAGAAAAGGGUUUUAAAUAAGCUAAAUAUUUAAUAGACACAGUAGAUAAAAUUUUUUAUUUAAGAAAUUAAGAAGAAGAAAAUUUAAUAGUAUAAACUAAUUUUGUGCCAGCAGUUGCGGUUAUACAGAUUAUGCAAUAGUAAAUUUUUAGUUUUAGAUAAAUGAAAUUAUUGGAUUGAGAUAGAAAUUUUUUAGGUGAAAUUUUAAGUUUUUGGAAAGGUUUUGCUAAGAUUUUAUGUUUAAAAAAUUUUUUGUUUAAACUAGGAUUAGAUACCCUACUAUAAAAAAGGUGAAGUUUAUGGACUAGGUUAGUAUAAGAUAUAUUUUUGAAAGUUAGAGGAGUUGGCGGUUUUUUAGUCUAUUCAGAGGAGCCUGUCCUGUUAUUGAUAGUCCACGUUUUAUAAAACUUAAGUUUUGAGUUUACAUAUCGCCGUAGUUUGAAUAUUUUUGUAGAAAAAUAAUAUUCAGGAUUUUUUUUUAAAAAUUAUAUCAGGUCAAGGUGCAGUUUAUAUUUAAGAAGAGAUGGGCUACAAUAGAUUUAUUUAGACAGUAUAAGGGUUGAAAAAUUUUUAUUAAGGUGGAUUUGAAUGUAAUUUUAUAAAGUUUUUUAAGAUGAUUUAAGCUCUAAGAUAUGUACAUAUCGCCCGUCGCUUUCACUUAAGAUGAAAUAAGUCGUAACAAAGUAGAUGUACUGGAAAGUGUCUCUAGAAAGAA
This 778-nucleotide non-coding RNA is filed under the name Trigonopterus sp. 1 AH-2016. Lineage: Eukaryota; Metazoa; Arthropoda; Insecta; Coleoptera; Curculionidae. The record is from RNAcentral.